GGGCUAGUGGCGGAAUUGGCAUACGCGCACGCCUUAAGAGCGUGUGAGGUAAUUCCUUGUGUGGGUUCGAGUCCCGCCUAGCCCA
RNAcentral lists this transfer RNA (85 nucleotides) under Candidatus Woesebacteria bacterium RIFCSPHIGHO2_01_FULL_38_10. RNAcentral describes it as "tRNA-Leu". It matches the Rfam family "tRNA". From Rfam's summary of the family: Transfer RNA (tRNA) molecules are approximately 80 nucleotides in length. RNAcentral also lists the same sequence under 1 other name. Lineage: Bacteria; Candidatus Woeseibacteriota. The record is from RNAcentral.